RNAcentral lists this ribosomal RNA (808 nucleotides) under uncultured human fecal virus. RNAcentral's name for it is "bacterial SSU rRNA". It matches the Rfam family "Bacterial small subunit ribosomal RNA", at positions 64 to 882 of the family's 1533-position model. The record is from RNAcentral.
GAACGAUGAUCCCAGCUUGCUGGGGGAUUAGUGGCGAACGGGUGAGUAACACGUGAGUAACCUGCCCUUAACUCUGGGAUAAGCCUGGGAAACUGGGUCUAAUACCGGAUAUGACCUUCUGCCGCAUGGUGGGGGGUGGAAAGCUUUAGCGGUUUUGGAUGGACUCGCGGCCUAUCAGCUUGUUGGUGAGGUAAUGGCUCACCAAGGCGACGACGGGUAGCCGGCCUGAGAGGGUGACCGGCCACACUGGGACUGAGACACGGCCCAGACUCCUACGGGAGGCAGCAGUGGGGAAUAUUGCACAAUGGGCGCAAGCCUGAUGCAGCGACGCCGCGUGAGGGAUGACGGCCUUCGGGUUGUAAACCUCUUUCAGUAGGGAAGAAGCGAAAGUGACGGUACCUGCAGAAGAAGCGCCGGCUAACUACGUGCCAGCAGCCGCGGUAAUACGUAGGGCGCAAGCGUUAUCCGGAAAUUAUUGGGCGUAAAGAGCUCGUAGGCGGUUUGUCGCGUCUGCCGUGAAAGUCCGGGGCUCAACUCCGGAUCUGCGGUGGGUACGGGCAGACUAGAGUGAUGUAGGGGAGACUGGAAUUCCUGGUGUAGCGGUGAAAUGCGCAGAUAUCAGGAGGAACACCGAUGGCGAAGGCAGGUCUCUGGGCAUUUAACUGACGCUGAGGAGCGAAAGCAUGGGGAGCGAACAGGAUUAGAUACCCUGGUAGUCCAUGCCGUAAACGUUGGGCACUAGGUGUGGGGGACAUUCCACGUUCUCCGUACCGUAGCUAACGCCAUUAAGUGCCCCGCCUGGGGAGUA